This is a small nuclear RNA of Perognathus longimembris pacificus (Pacific pocket mouse), 151 nucleotides long. RefSeq annotates it as U12 minor spliceosomal RNA. Lineage: Eukaryota; Metazoa; Chordata; Mammalia; Rodentia; Heteromyidae. The transcript has a single exon. The record is from RefSeq and is a predicted model, not a curated record.
AUGCCUUAAACUUACGAGUAAGGAAAAUAACGAUUCUGGGUGACGCCUGGAUCCUCACUGGGAAUAUGAGACAAAGUUUUUGAGCGGGUAAAGGUGGCCCCCAAGGUGACCCGCCUACUUUGCCGGAUGCCUGGGUGCUGCAAUCUGCCCG